This 2269-nucleotide unclassified non-coding RNA is filed under the name Limulus polyphemus (Atlantic horseshoe crab). RNAcentral's name for it is "vacuolar protein sorting-associated protein 52 homolog, transcript variant X2". Lineage: Eukaryota; Metazoa; Arthropoda; Merostomata; Xiphosura; Limulidae. The record is from RNAcentral.
AGAUAUAUAAUGUUAAUAAAUUUCGUACUCCAUGGAAAAAAAUGUCUUCCGUAGUUGAAAUUUGCUCGAGUUGAGGGGAUGUGGGAAGCAUUAUUUUUCUGUGCAAACCAAAGGUCAAUUACAACAGAUGACUGAGAAGUUUUGAAACAGCAAAAUGGCAACUGAUGAUCAGACUCUAGAGGAGGUCGAUGUUCAUAUUCAGGAGAACCUAGAAGAUGACAUAAUAAAGGAAGCUCUUAAAUCUGGUAUGGACCUUCGGCAGUACUCCCGCCAAGUGGAAAAGGAACUGAAAGAAGUAGAAAAUGCUUCAAUUCAAGAUUAUAUACAAGAAAGUCAGAACAUUGCCAGUCUUCACAAUCAGAUUGCAGCCUGUGACGGAAUACUUGAGAGAAUGGAACAGAUGUUAAGAACAUUCCAAGAAGACCUAGGUAGUAUUAGUCAUGAGAUUCUAACACUACAAGAACAGUCAGUGUCCAUGAACAUACGGCUCAAAAAUCGACAGGCAAUUCGAGGUGAACUAAGUCAGUUUGUGGAUGAUAUGGUGGUUCCUGAUGUUUUGAUAAAUCACAUUUUAGAGACACCUGUAGUUGAAAAGGACUUUCUUGAACAAAUUUAUGUGUUGGACCAUAAAAUAUCUUUUGUGAAAGAACAAGCCUUCAAAGAAGUUCACUCUUGCCAAGAUGUAAGAGACAUACUUGAUAAAUUGAAGUUCAAGGCAUUAUCCAAAAUUCGAGAGUACCUGUUACAAAGGAUCUACUCCUUCCGUAAACCAAUGACAAACUACCAGGUAACACAAGAUACAAUGCUAAAGUUCAAGUUUUUCUACCAGUUUUUGAUGACUCAUGAGAGAGAGGUUGCACGGGAGAUUCGAGAUGAGUACGUUGACACCAUGUCCAAGAUAUACUUUUCAUAUUUUAAGAGUUACACCACUAGACUAAUGAAAUUACAGUUUGAAGAAACCGCUGACAAGGAUGACUUAAUGGGAGUAGAAGAUACAGCAAGGAAGAGUAUCUUCUCCACCAAACCUUCGUUAAAGAACAAGGCCACUAUUUUUACUCUUGGUGAUCGUGGAAAUGUACUGACCACUGAUCUUGAAAGUCCAAUUUUGGUACCCCAUACGGCCCAAAAAAAUGAAACUAAAUACACAUUUGAGAGUCUCUUUCGUAGCCAGCAGUAUGCUUUAGUGGACAAUGCAUGCAGAGAAUAUCUAUUUCUAACAGAGUUCUUCAUGGUCAGUGGGACAGGGGCACAGGAUCUAUUUCAUGCGGUGAUAGGUAAAACUUUGACCAUGUUUAUGAAACACGUUGAUGUUUACAUACAAGAUUGUUAUGACUCCAUUGCUGUAUUCUUAUGUAUCCACAUUAUUCAUCGUUUCCAACUGCUGAUGCAUAAAAGGGCUGUACCUGCAUUGGAUAAGUACUGGGAGGCUUUACUGCAGCUCUUUUGGCCAAGGUUUGAGUACAUCUUGCAGUUAAAUAUACAGAGUGUUCGGGACUGUGACCCACAGAAAUUUGGGUCCUUCGACUUGCGGCCUCAUUAUAUAACAAGAAGAUAUGCUGAAUUUUCUGCUGCACUAGUUGGAAUAAACGAAAAUUUCCCCAGUGAACAAGUCACUCGUCUACUGGCAGCAUUACAAGGAGAAGUGGAAAACUUUAUCCUCAGAAUGGCAGCAGAGUUUCCUGGUCGCAAAGAACAGCUAGUUUUUCUCAUAAACAACUAUGACAUGAUGCUUAGCGUGCUCUUGGAGCGAACUCGUGAAGACUCUAAAGAGUCUGAAAGUUUCAAGGAACUACUGAAUGCACGAACACAUGAGUAUGUGGAAGAAAUUCUGUCUCCCCACUUUGGAGGGCUCAUAAGUUUUGUAAAGAUGUGUGAGAACUACUUAGAGAGAGGCCAGUCUGAACAUUUAAAGAAAGAAGAAAGUAAAAAAAGUACCUCAACUUGUACGUUCUUUCAACUCGGGCUGGAAAGGUUCUCUGGAUGACAUCAACAAAGACAUCAUGAAAUCCUUCACAAACUUCAAAAAUGGAACCAACAUCUUACAGGUGGCAUUAACACAACUGAUCCAGUAUUACCAUCGUUUUCAUAAAGUUCUAUCCCAGAAUCCUUUCAAGAACCUUCCCAUUCGGAGUGAACUCAUUAAUAUUCAUCACUUAAUGGUAGAGGUGAAGAAGUACAAAGCUAAUUUUUAAACCUCUAAAAGUUAUUGUAAUAUACAAGAGGAUGUAGAAAUUGUGUUCCAGUUUGAAAAUAAAGUCAUUCCACAAUA